Molecule: ribosomal RNA, 587 nt
Filed under: Alternaria sp.
Lineage: Eukaryota; Fungi; Ascomycota; Dothideomycetes; Pleosporales; Pleosporaceae
Description: eukaryotic LSU rRNA
Rfam family: Eukaryotic large subunit ribosomal RNA
Source: RNAcentral
UAAGCAUAUCAAUAAGCGGAGGAAAAGAAACCAACAGGGAUUGCCCUAGUAACGGCGAGUGAAGCGGCAACAGCUCAAAUUUGAAAUCUGGCUCUUUUAGAGUCCGAGUUGUAAUUUGCAGAGGGCGCUUUGGCUUUGGCAGCGGUCCAAGUUCCUUGGAACAGGACGUCACAGAGGGUGAGAAUCCCGUACGUGGUCGCUGGCUAUUGCCGUGUAAAGCCCCUUCGACGAGUCGAGUUGUUUGGGAAUGCAGCUCUAAAUGGGAGGUACAUUUCUUCUAAAGCUAAAUAUUGGCCAGAGACCGAUAGCGCACAAGUAGAGUGAUCGAAAGAUGAAAAGCACUUUGGAAAGAGAGUCAAACAGCACGUGAAAUUGUUGAAAGGGAAGCGCUUGCAGCCAGACUUGCUUACAGUUGCUCAUCCGGGUUUCUACCCGGUGCACUCUUCUGUAGGCAGGCCAGCAUCAGUUUGGGCGGUAGGAUAAAGGUCUCUGUCACGUACCUCCUUUCGGGGAGGCCUUAUAGGGGAGACGACAUACUACCAGCCUGGACUGAGGUCCGCGCAUCUGCUAGGAUGCUGGCGUAAUGG